CCUACGGGUGGCAGCAGUGGGGAAUAUUGGACAAUGGGCGAAAGCCUGAUCCAGCCAUGCCGCGUGUGUGAAGAAGGCCUCGGGUUGUAAAGCACUUUCAGUGGGGAAGAAAGCCUUGGGGCUAAUACCCUCGAGGAAGGACAUCACCCACAGAAGAAGCACCGGCUAACUCCGUGCCAGCAGCCGCGGUAAUACGGAGGGUGCGAGCGUUAAUCGGAAUUACUGGGCGUAAAGCGCGCGUAGGCGGUCUGAUAAGCCGGUUGUGAAAGCCCCGGGCUCAACCUGGGAACGGCAUCCGGAACUGUCAGGCUAGAGUGCAGGAGAGGAAGGUAGAAUUCCCGGUGUAGCGGUGAAAUGCGUAGAGAUCGGGAGGAAUACCAGUGGCGAAGGCGGCCUUCUGGACUGACACUGACGCUGAGGUGCGAAAGCGUGGGUAGCAAACAGGAUUAGAUACCCUGGUAGUC
RNAcentral lists this ribosomal RNA (464 nucleotides) under Vreelandella stevensii. Its description in RNAcentral is "partial 16S ribosomal RNA". It matches the Rfam family "Bacterial small subunit ribosomal RNA", at positions 338 to 795 of the family's 1533-position model. The record is from RNAcentral. Lineage: Bacteria; Pseudomonadati; Pseudomonadota; Gammaproteobacteria; Oceanospirillales; Halomonadaceae.